Molecule: small nucleolar RNA, 103 nt
Organism: Arachis stenosperma
Lineage: Eukaryota; Viridiplantae; Streptophyta; Magnoliopsida; Fabales; Fabaceae
Product: small nucleolar RNA R30/Z108
Exons: 1
Source: RefSeq, a predicted model, not a curated record
GGUUUUGACAAUGAGGAUAUAAAAGCUCCCUCUUCUGAAAUUGUAGUUGAGGAACGUUGCUGGCAGAAUCGAACCAUAAAAACCUUUUGCCAUCACUGAGUUA